AAUUUGGAUACUGAAUGGACGUAUCCGAUCUUGUGCUCAGCCUAAAGGUUGAUUAGUGAAGUUCUUUUGGAAUGAUAUUAUUUUUAGUCAAAUUUUGAUAUUGACUCCUCCAUUUAAAGUGAAGUUUUAAAUUGUUUUGCACGGGACCCAACCCAACACACUAGUAUUGAAAACUUCAUGGUUCUGCAACUUGAUGGAACUGUAAAUGAGUGGGGCUGGUGCAAGCAAAAGCUUGAAGUGAAUGCCAUACUGGCAGUGUCUCUUGCAGUUCGUAAAGCUGGCGCUAGUGUCCACAAAAAUCUCCCUUUACAAGAACUAAAUAUGAUAAAAUGACAAUUUCUGGAUGCAUCAUAUUGCCAACUUGGCCGGUAACAAGAAGUUGGUUCUGCCGGUUCCCGUUUUCAAUGUCAUAAUGGUGGAUCACAUGCAGGAAAUAAACUUGCCAUGCGGGAGCUCGUGAUUCUUCCUGUUGGAGCUUCCACUUUCAAAGAGGCCAUGAAGAUGGGAGUGGAAGUAUAUCAUCAUUUGAAGGUGGGUUAUGAAUUUCCAUUUCUCUCCUCCUUUUUUUUUUUGGCCUGGAACGAUGAAUUGCAGGCUUAUGAUUGUUCUUACUGUCUCGCUAUUCUGUAUGUAUUGCAACGUGGCCUGAUAUCGGCUAUAAAUAAAUAUGUUACCUUAAUGCAAUGUGGCUUGAUGUUACAAGUAGAAAGUGUUAUUGCUUUUAUGGCCUGGAUCAAAUAGGUUUCUUAUCCUGCCAAAAAUGAAAAAACACAACCAAUAUGUAUAGAGUAAAAAAAUAAAAAUAAAAGAGCUGUCAAAACUUCUAGUAAAAACUGAUUC
RNA transcript from Cornus florida, 840 nucleotides. It is a transcript of the gene named enolase-like, with no coding region annotated. NCBI's taxonomy places the organism in Eukaryota, Viridiplantae, Streptophyta, Magnoliopsida, Cornales, Cornaceae. The transcript has 4 exons. The record is from RefSeq and is a predicted model, not a curated record.